AUAUUUGUCAAUGGACGCGAGUCUGAACCAGCCAAGUAGCGUGAAGGAUGACUGCCCUAUGGGUUGUAAACUUCUUUUAUAUGGGAAUAAAGUUUUCAACGUGUGGAAUUUUGUAUGUAUCAUAUGACUAAGGAUCGGCUAACUCCGUGCCAGCAGCCGAGGUAAUACGGAGGAUCCGAGCGUUAUCCGGAUUUAUUGGGUUUAAAGGGAGCGUAGGUGGACAGUUGAGUCAGUUGUGAAAGUUUGCGGCUCAACCGUAAAAUUGCAGUUGAAACUGGCAGUCUUGAGUACAGUAGAGGUGGGCGGAAUUCGUGGUGUAGCGGUGAAAUGCUUAGAUAUCACGAAGAACUCCGAUUGCGAAGGCAGCUCACUGGACUGUUGACUGACACUGAGGCUCGAAAGUGUGGGUAUCAAACAG
This 418-nucleotide ribosomal RNA is filed under the name uncultured bacterium. Its description in RNAcentral is "bacterial SSU rRNA". It matches the Rfam family "Bacterial small subunit ribosomal RNA", at positions 361 to 775 of the family's 1533-position model. The record is from RNAcentral.